Molecule: long non-coding RNA, 330 nt
Organism: Cyprinus carpio (common carp)
Lineage: Eukaryota; Metazoa; Chordata; Actinopteri; Cypriniformes; Cyprinidae
Exons: 2
Source: RefSeq, a predicted model, not a curated record
ACUAUGAUGACCUCAAAACAUUGUCUGCAUUGUGCAAAAAUAGUGUUUACUGUGUUUGUGAUUUAUUAUUCAAUACAGACAAGAAGCAAAAGAUGAAAGGACAGCUUUUGGAUGAAGAACGUGUAUUAGGACAAGAAAGAUGGAGGUCACAUGAUCGGAGAGGAUCACAGUAACAUCAGGGAUUAUCUACCGCAACAAUUUUCCCAUUUAAUUAAAUUGCCAAAAACAUGUUUCUCUGGUUUUAUAAACCGAUAUGGAGAAAGGGUCUUGUGUUGCGCUGUAAAAUUAUAUGUAAAUUUAAUAUGUAAAAAUAUUAAAAAAUAUAUUUUG